CUCGUAGGUGGCCAACUAAGUCAGACGUGAAAUCCUUCGGCUUAACCGGGGAACUGCGUCUGAUACUGGAUGGCUUGAGUUCGGGAGAGGGAUGCGGAAUUCCAGGUGUAGCGGUGAAAUGCGUAGAUAUCUGGAGGAACACCGGUGGCGAAGGCGGCAUCCUGGACCGACACUGACGCUGAGGAGCGAAAGCCAGGGGAGCAAACA
This 207-nucleotide ribosomal RNA is filed under the name uncultured bacterium. RNAcentral's name for it is "partial 16S ribosomal RNA". It matches the Rfam family "Bacterial small subunit ribosomal RNA", at positions 568 to 774 of the family's 1533-position model. The record is from RNAcentral.